This 450-nucleotide ribosomal RNA is filed under the name uncultured bacterium. RNAcentral's name for it is "partial 16S ribosomal RNA". It matches the Rfam family "Bacterial small subunit ribosomal RNA", at positions 354 to 796 of the family's 1533-position model. The record is from RNAcentral.
GUGGGGAAUAUUGGACAAUGGGCGAAAGCCUGAUCCAGCCAUGCCGCGUGUGUGAAGAAGGUCUUCGGAUUGUAAAGCACUUUAAGUUGGGAGGAAGGGCAGUAAGUUAAUACCUUGCUGUUUUGACGUUACCGACAGAAUAAGCACCGGCUAACUUCGUGCCAGCAGCCGCGGUAAUACGAAGGGUGCAAGCGUUAAUCGGAAUUACUGGGCGUAAAGCGCGCGUAGGUGGUUUUGUAAGUUGGAGGUGAAAUCCCCGGGCUCAACCUGGGAAGUGCAUCCAAAACUGCAUGACUAGAGUACGGUAGAGGGUAGUGGAAUUUCCUGUGUAGCGGUGAAAUGCGUAGAUAUAGGAAGGAACACCAGUGGCGAAGGCGACUACCUGGACUGAUACUGACACUGAGGUGCGAAAGCGUGGGGAGCAAACAGGAUUAGAAACCCCUGUAGUCC